UAUCAAUAAGCGACAGCAAACGGGCCCCUGCAUAGCCCUAAGUUGGAGCUUAGCAGGAACCUUUCUUUGGAAUUUAGGCGUCUNCGUCUCAUGUUCCUUGCAAACAGGACGAUCACAAACGGUGAGAAUCCCGUGCGAUGAGAUGCCCAAUUCCAUGUAAAGUUCCUUCGACGAGUCGAGUUGUUUGGGAAUGCAGCUCUAAGUGGGUGGUAAAUUCCAUCUAAAGCUAAAUAUUGGCGAGAGACCGAUAGCGAACAAGUACUGUGAAGGAAAGAUGAAAAGAACUUUGAAAAGAGAGUGAAAAAGUACGUGAAAUUGUUGAAAGGGAAGGGCUUGAGGUCAGACUUGGUUUUACCAGGCCAGCAUCAGUUUGGGUGGCAGGAUAAGUGCGUAGGAAAGUGGCUCCACCUCGGUGGAGUGUUAUAGCCUGCGUCGAUACUGCCUGCCUAGACUGAGGACUGCGUCUUUGACUAGGAUGCUGGCAUAAUGACCUUAAGCC
RNAcentral lists this ribosomal RNA (499 nucleotides) under Yamadazyma scolyti. RNAcentral describes it as "eukaryotic LSU rRNA". It matches the Rfam family "Eukaryotic large subunit ribosomal RNA", at positions 92 to 646 of the family's 3401-position model. The record is from RNAcentral. Lineage: Eukaryota; Fungi; Ascomycota; Pichiomycetes; Serinales; Debaryomycetaceae.